Molecule: long non-coding RNA, 437 nt
Organism: Vitis riparia (riverbank grape)
Lineage: Eukaryota; Viridiplantae; Streptophyta; Magnoliopsida; Vitales; Vitaceae
Exons: 2
Source: RefSeq, a predicted model, not a curated record
GCAAUGUCUUUUAUCAUUCACUCUUCUUAGCCACCAUUAGAGACCAUUGAACUUUUCUCCCAAAGCCAUAACACCCAUCCUCAUCACUGUAUAUUUCUCCGACUAGAUUGUUGUCGUCAUUGACGUCCUCAUCACUGAGGGGGCUGAGAUCAAUGACCAACUCGCUCAACGACCAAUUUCUUUAGCCACUUCAUCGCCCACAUCUUCCAGGUAGUAGUCUGAUGCAUUUCUCUGAGGUUAUGAUCUUUCCAAAAUCCUCCCUAGUUAGAUCAUAAGUAGAAUGAAAAUUUUAGAGUCCUAAGUAUGGCCUUUCUAAGGUUCUCUUUUAAAAUACAAGUUAAUAGGUUCAUUAUGUUGCAUCACUAGUUUGUUAUCUCUUAAAUUCUAUUAUUAUUAUGUCUGCAUUCCUUAUAUUGACAAAUUGAAAAAUACCAGUA